This is a non-coding RNA of Vicugna pacos (alpaca), 15111 nucleotides long. Lineage: Eukaryota; Metazoa; Chordata; Mammalia; Artiodactyla; Camelidae. The record is from RefSeq and is a predicted model, not a curated record.
GCUUUAUUCAAUAUUGCCAAAACUUGGAAGCAUCCAAGAUGUCCUUCAGUGGGUGAAUGGAUAAAUAAACUGAUAAUCCAGAUAAUGGAAUACUGUUUAGCACUAAAAAGAAAUGAGCUAUCAAAGCUACGAAAAGAUGUGGAGAGACCUUAAAUUCAUAUUCGUAAGUGAAAGAAGCCAACCUGAAAAGGCUACGUGUAUGGUUCUAACUAUGACAUUCUGGAAAAGGCAAAGCUUCGGAGACAAUAAAAAGAUCAGUGGUUGCCAGCGGUUAAGGGGGAGGCAUGAAUAGGUGGAACACAGAGGGUUUUUUAGAAAAGUUAAAAUACUCUGUAUGAAUACUAUAAAUGUAUAUAUGUCAUAAAUUUUUUCCAAACUCAGAGAAUGUACAACACCAAGACUUUGAUAAGGAAAACUGGACUUUGGGUGAUUAUGAUGUGUCAUGUAACUUCAUUAAUUGUAACAAAUGCACCAUUCUGAUGGGGGAAUGUCAAUAAUGGGGGAGGCUAUGCCUGUGUAGGUUCAAGAGGUAUAUGGGACAUCUUUGUACCUUCCUUUCAACUUUGCUGUGAACCUAAAACUACUCUAAAAAUACAGUCUUUUUUGUUUAAAGGAAAACGGUCCCUACCUCAUCUUAUGGGGUUAAUAUAACCUUUAUUUCUAAAGUAAAUAAAAGCUAGUAAAGCUUGUGCUAGUAGAAUCUAGCACAAUAAAGAAUAAUUAUAGGCCAAAUUCAAUUAUGAGUAUAGAUAGAAAACAUCCAAACAAAAUAUUAACAAAUGAAUUUAGCAAUAUAUUUAUCAUGACCAAGUGACAAUUAUAACUGAAAUUUUGUUUAAAUAUUUAAACCAAUUUGUAUAAAAGUAACAAAUCAAAAGAGAAAAACACUUUAAUAAAUGCAGAAAUGUUUUUGAUAAAAUUCAAGAUCCAUUCAUGACAAAAUCUUAGCAAAAUACAAAGAAAAGUUAAAUUCCUUAAUUUGAUGAAGAAAAAUCUACCAAAAUCCCAUAGCAAACAUUAUAUUUAAUGGUGAAAUGUUGAAGAUCAGAGUCAGGAAAAUGAUGCCUAGCAUCACUUCCAUUCAACAUUUAGCUAGAUGUUGUAGACAGUAAUUUGACAACACAGUAAUAUUCUCAAAACAGUAAGAUGUAAAAAAAAAGUAAGGUUUGAAAAUAAGGAACUUACACACUCAUUAUUUUGAGAUGAUACACUGUUCAAAGAGGACACAAAAAUAUCUACAUUUAAGUUGCAAGAAGUGAUACAAAAUCAUUAUACCUCAGUAACACUAACUAGAAAAUAUAGUUAAAAUAUAUAUUACUUACAAUAGUAUAAAUAUGAAGUAACCAUGAAUAAAUCUAACAGGGUCCAGGCCUAUUUUGGAGAAAAUUAAAAACUUGAUUAAAAGACAUGAAAGAUGUAUACUAAAAGUAAACCAUGUUCAUGGAUAGGAAAUCUUAGUAUAUCUCCUCAAACAGAUAUUUAGACUCAAAAAAUGUUAAUAAAAAUCUCCUGUUUUUAAAAUAAAACUUGACAAACUGAUUUUAAAAUUUAAAUGGAAAGGUCUAGUUAUAAAAGUCAUUGACAAAUAAUUCUGAAAUGUAGUUUUCUUUGGCACUAGGAGAGGAUGCCUGCAGUGAUGAGUGUCCAGGGCUUCUGAGGUCCUGGUUAUGUUCUAGCUGUAAGUCUCAGUGGUAGGUACAUAGGUAUUUCUAUUACUAUUAUUACUCUGUAAACUACCCAUAUGUCAUACAAAAAAUGUGGAAAAAAUGUAUAUUUCACAGUUACAAAAAAAAAAAGGGGGGUGAAAAGAACAAAAAGAAAUUGUCUGUAAAUUCUACUGAGCACUUGAUGGAUUUCAAAGCAUAAUUAUUGACAUUCCUUGCAUUUGUCUGGGUUGGGUUUUCUGAACUCUGGAUCCCUGAAGCCAUGAAGCAUGUAUGCCAAAUUAACAGGUUUCUGAGCUGGGAAUUUUCCUCCACAGUUGGAAGAGCCUGAAGAGAGGCAGAGAAUGCUGUUUAUCACACACUUUGAACACUUUGGGCAAGUAGAGGGAUACAAAAGAGGAAUGAGAUAAUGGAGGUUAUGAGGAAGGACAGGCUGUGUUCAACCUAGGAGGCACUAUAUAGAGAAGUUUAAAAAAUUGGCAUUUGGAGUCUCAUAAGAAAUUACCUGGUUGGGGAUGGUAAAAAAAAAAUGAUGUUCAUAAUUAUAAUGAGAAGGGAUAUUCAAGUUCUGGUGAUUUGAUUUGCUUCAUUCUUCUAUUAACAAAUCUGACUUUCAGCAAUUCAUUGUCUAGGUUUUCCCCUUAACUUUCAGUUUUAAAUUCUGCUUUUCGUAUCCUUGUAAAACUCUCUAUAAAACUGCUAAAUUAUUCAACAGAUUUAUACAGCCACGCAUAUGCUUGCCCAGAGCUGGAAAAGAUAAUGAAACUAUACUUUCUGCAUUCAUGAGAUAAUUGAUAGGGAUAAUUUUUUAAGCAAUUAAAAUAGAGAGGAAAUCAAGAUCACAAAUUCAAGAAAGCAGAAGCUUCAAAGUCCUCUGCCUCUAAAAACUUCUUAACCCUCUGCCAUAUUAGAACUCUUGGAACCAGUUGUUGUUCUUUUUUCAUUCCAAACUCAGAUUUCUUUCAGUUUGUCUCUUGGACACCAAAUGACUUUUUAUUCUCACAAUUGUUAACAUUUUCUUAUUCAAAAACUGUUAUAAAACUCAGAAGAGUUCUCAGAUAGUAAGGCAAAUAGAAAAAUCUGGACUCAGUGAUCACUGAGAUUCCUAAGUCAGUCACUGUAUCUACUCAUGAAUAGAAGAGGGAAAGGAGCCUUUAUAAUCCUACCCCUGCAACUGGACCAUUUUAGAGAUACAAUAUAUCCUAAAAGUCAUCAAGUUCCAUGCUCAAAGUAGAAUUUUCUCUCCCAAGUCUGAAGAGGGCCCUUUGGCUUCAGCUUUCAACUUAAGACUUGUGUCACAGAGAGCUUGGUACUUCAAAAGACAGCUUGUUAUGCCAUUGGAGCUGUAAGAAAAUUCUUCCUUAUAGAGAGGCGUAACAGCUAUCCAGCAGGCUGACUCUGACAUCAAGUCAGAGAAAGACCAAUUCUUCAUUUAAUCCUUAAAAUAAUUGGAAAAUUUUGUCUCCUUUUUCAAGUCAUGUCCCCUGAGAAGUCAAAUAGCCCUGCUUUUGUUGCAAUUAUAUUUUCAGACCUUUCAGAUGUAGUUCAGACUAUGCCUCUCUUUGGAGAUCUAACUCCAGGGUGUCAGUGUCCUUUCUGAAGUGAGAUGUCCAAACUGAGCACCAUACUGCAGAUGUAGCCCAGAUCUUGUGGAGAACUAAGUUAGUUAUUUCCCCUUUUGCACUAAGCUUCUGAAAUCUUGUUAGUUCUGAUAGAAACUACAUCACACAGGAAGCUCAUAUAGAAAUAAUCAGGGAUUAAAAUCAGACCGCCACUGGAGCUGCUUGCCCUGAUAAAGUCACCACAGGUCAUAGGACAUACAUCCAAGAUGUGAAGUGAAAGAUCCCUGGGUCCGAGGAUUGGGCAGGAAUAUCAGGAGUUGGGACAAUUCUCUCAAUCCCUUGCCCCAGGGCCUCUUGUCACUGCUUCUCUUGGCAGAUCUGCUCUGCUCUCUUCUGACAACAUGCCCUCUUCCAGUCCUUUAUGUUUCCGUAUAACUUUGGCUUGCCUAUGCUCCAGCAUGCCAUGAAACCAACCUAGCCCAAAUUCUACAAACCUUUUAUUGAAGUUUCCCCUCCCGAGCAUCCAGCUCUGUAUCUCUCAAACUUUCGUGUAUGUCCACAAAAUCACAUAGAGAUGUCAAAAAUGCAAAGGAUGAUUCAGUUAAGUCUAAGGGAAGGAGUGUAUAUUUUAGACAAAUUCUCAGCUGACGUGGAUGCUGCUAGGCCACAUAUCACACUUUGAGCAGCAAAUAAAUCAGGAUGCAGCUGAUCCAGUUUCCCAAUUCCCAACCCCUGGUGGAAGGAAUCUGAUUAUCUUGGUUUAAUUUUGGUUUGUUCACCCCGGUCACCCUGCUCCAAUUAGCCACUGACAGGAGAAUUAUAUGGAUAAAAUACUAACACGGCCACCUUGGUCAGCCCUUUCAGCAGGACCAAUGGGUAGACUGAGUAGUUAAAAAAUGCUAAAAUGCAUCUAGGCAGGGGUCAAUUAAUACCCCAGAUAAUUUUUAUACGAAUGGUUCACUAAGCUAAGUUUUGAUUUUGUCCUUGUACAACUUUUCCAAUGGGAAAGACUGUCAUUUUCCACCAUAACUGGCAUGGUUCUGAUUUUCUUUAAAUCCUGUCCGCACAGUUAAGAUAAAUUUGUUUCUGAUGUUUGAGGUUUAUGCCUGUCAAAAUAUUCCAGAGAAGAAAUGAAAUUAUGAAUUAUCUUCUUAAAAUAGGUUUUCAUACUUUAGAUUCUAUUCUUCUGUCAUUAUAGUGAGGUUUUUGAAGAAAAGAGUUUCUCUCAGGCAGAUAUCCUAAAGGAACCCUUUAUAUUGCAUUCUUCAUCUUUGUUCCAGGCCCUGCACUCAGUGCAGUUAUAACAGUCAAAUGUCCCUUUUCAAUAUCUUCUCCAGGUGGGCCCCUAUGGCCCUUCCAGGGAUCUGUGAGUGCAGUUCCCAAACUGUGUGAAUGAUGUCUAGAGGGAAACAUUGUAGUUCAAAACCAGGACCUGUACCCUACACCCCCUGCUCACAUGACAUGCAGGACGCUGACUUCCCCACUACAUUAAGGCUACUGGGAACAAUGCCAGCAUUCUACUUUCACUCCUGAAUGAUGCUUACUCCUUGCUGGUGAUCCUGCAGUGCUUCCCCAUUCCGAUUGGCUCCAAUGUUUCUUUAGUUUCAAGUACAUAGGUAGUUUUUGGAGAUAGAAGUCCUUGAGUGAGUGUGCAGUGGAGAGGGGGUGAUGGGGAUCAAUGAGUCAGGAUAAUGAGAAGGUUCUCUGGCAUGAGACUAGAGAGGGUAAGGAAGUGAUUCUAGCUCAGGGAGCCUAGGAAGGAACCCUAAAGCAGUUCAUUUCAAGCCUGGAUUGUCAAAGUUGGUCCUAUUGUUCAAUUACUUUUUAAAAACUAGUCCUAGAAAACCAUGUGAUCUGUUCGAGGUUUGCAAGAGGUCUUCCAUUAUUCAGAGAAUUGAUAUGUUAAUUUAAUCAGAAUCUUGGCUUCCUUUCCAUCUCUUCAUUUUGUCAAUUAAGAGGCAUAGCCUCAGUAGAUGGAUUCAUUUUGUAUGCAAAGAAAAUCAAAGUGCUCUGAGAGAUAUGUUGGGCCAAAAACACACUCACCUGGAACCAUAGUAGAGAUCAAUUUCAAGCCCAUGAAAAAUAUAUGUCUUUGUGUGAGGCUGUUGGCAUCUGUAUCACUGCAUUAUGCGUAAUCUCUACCAUGUUCAUGGUGCAUCUGUUCAUCACACUGUUUAAACAAGUUUUCCAUUUUUGCCAAAUGGUAGGUAUCAAGACUGAAUCCAUAGUUUCCUCACUCUGGUUCUCUUGGCAGGAGCUUCUCUUGUCCUUUUUCUUAGCUAUCUGUAGUCUAUCUUUGGUUAUAGUCAUAGAAGUUUGACCUCUUCCCUUAGGAGGCAGUAUUGAAGGCUUAUAGUCUUAAUAUUUGCUCAAUAAUUUUUUUUGCAUCACUGUCAUUUUUUAAAAAUUUCAAAUAAACUUGUUACCAUUACUUAGCCUAAAUGUAGACCCCAUCUAGGUAGUUAAUAAGUAUAACUUUCAUGUAGAUAUUUUAAUAAGAAAAAACAUAGAUCUGAAUUCCUACCUUCUGUUUGCUUAUACACAUAUACACAGAUAUGAAGCAAAUAGCAAUGUGGGUUUCUUUUUUCCUAAAAGCAAUUAAUUUAUUAUUAAUUUUAAUGCUAGAUUAUACAAAAUGGAAGCUUGCAUUUGAAUGACAAUUCCAAAACUGAGUCUUUAUAAUUGCCUAAUUAGAGUAAUUUCUGCAUUUUACAGGCAUUGAAUUUUUGGAUACAAAAAGCAAGUAGAAAGCCCAUGUGCCAUUUUUUUUUUCCUCCACAAAUUUAAUCUAUGCUAGUAGCUAUUUAAACUCUUUCAGACUGCUGAAUAGGUGUCUUUAGUGCUUUUCUUUUCUUGAUCAAGAUAGUAAUUGUCACGUCUUAAAGCCUCAUCAUUUUGUUUAUUCUGCCUAUGUUCCAAAUCUCCUGUUCUAACUUGUUUGGUAUUGCUUGUUCUGCUGUUCCAGCUUUCUCAGUUUCUUUUGAGUAAGGACAAUCAUUUAAACCUUGUGAAUGACAGUCACUAAUUUGUCACACAAAAAUAUUUUAGUCCAAAUCACUAUUGAUAUAGGUUGUUACUGGAUUCAAAUAUUUGAUAACUGCAUAUUACAGCUUAAAGUUCCCUGCUGAGUUUUAACAGUAACUCAGGCAAACACUUCUGAAACUUACCAAGUUCCAUUAUGGUCAGCUUUGAUUUUUUUUCCAUCAUGUUCUUAAAUUAGAGACAUAUUUGAGCAACGACCAAAACUUCCAAAAGCCAAAUACCUCUCUUUUCCUAAACUAUGACUUUUCUGACGGAGAAUAGAGCUCAUUUACAAAUUUUAGUCAGUUGUGCCUUUGUUUCAGAAAAGCUUGGAAUUGAAACAAAUUGGGGGAAAUGUGUAAUUUUUGACAUGAAAAGUGGAGGGAUGGAUAUGAACCUAAACCAUAAAUUUUCCCCACAGCUUUAAAGGCUUAAACAGAGCUGGAAAAAUGUUCUUUUGCAAAGCUAGAUGUCAAGAAAAGCAAGUUUCUGCUGCAGCAGUGUUGCAGGCUGUGAACAAGGACUACUAGAGGGAGGAGAAGUCCUUUCAAGUGGCAGCUAUGUGGACAGUUUAUUUGAAUGGUUGGGUGUUUACUUUUCAUCCAACAUUUAAUUAUGGAAGUUUUCCCAAUGCAGUCAAUUGGAAAGACUUUUACAGUGAACACCCGUAAACCUACCCCCUAAAUUCUCCAUUAACAUUUUACUGUACUUUAUCACAUAUCUAACCCUCUGUCCAGCCCUUGGUGCAGCCAUCAAUUCAUCUUACCUUCAAUGCAUUUCAUCAUCUUAUUUUUAAUGUAUUGCAGAUACCAGCAUAUUUCCCUUAAAACUCUUCUGUAUGCAGGUUAUUAAUGAAAAUUAAAUAUUUGUUUAUAGUUAUUUUUCUGUGUAAAAUUGACUGAGUUUAACCAAAUGAAUACAUACACCUGUGUAACCCAAACUCCUGUAAAAAUAUUGAUCAUUAGUAUUACCCCAGAAAGCUCCCAUAUGCCUGUUCAUCCUUACUUUCUGUCCUCGUCUCAUCCCCAAGACACCACUGUUCUGAUUUUUUUCACCAUAGAUAAGUUUAAUUGUUCUAGAACCUCAAUUAAUGGAAUCACAUGGUGUGCACUCUUUUGUGUAAGACUUCUUUCACUCAGCCUAAUUUUUCUUCAUUUCUGUUGUUCUGUAUACAUUGAUAGUUUAUUCCUUUAUGUUGCUGAAUAAUAGUCAUUAUGUGAAUAGAUCACAGUUUGUUUAUCCAUUCUCUUCUUGUCUAUUUUCAGUUUUUAGCCAUUAUGAAUAAAGCCUCUAUGAAUAUUCUUAUGAAAGUCUUUUUUGUGUAAAAGAUACUUUCAUUUCUCUCAGGUAGGAUUCUGUCGGGUCAUAGGAUAGGUGUAUUUUUUAGGUUUAUAAAAAACAUUUUUUUUUCUAAAGUGGUUGUACGAUUUUAUAUUUCCACCAAUAAUGCAAUGAGUGGUUUGGUUGUCCUGCUGUCAGUCUUUUUAAUUUUACCCUUUCUGUUGAUAUGAGUGGUAUCUCAUUGUAAUUUUAAUUUGAUUUCCCAGGUGUUUAUUUUUUAUGUUUUAAGGAAAGGACAAUUAUGACAUCAAGUCCAUGAUUGCAGGUAUUCCAGGCUGGAGUCAGGGCCAAAUAAAAAGCGAGUCAACUUAAGAUCGAGUUAAAUAAAAAUAUCAAGUAAAUAAUAAUUGAGGUGGUAUAUGGAUAUAGAAAAUCUGUGAAGUGAUUCGUGAAUAAAUUUGAGAAAUACUGUUAUAGAGGAGGUCCUUUUUUCAGAUGUCCUGUAUUUCCAUGGGGUUUUUUUUUUUUGGUAUCAAGUCAAAAAAUCAACAUGUAAAAAUCUUAAAGAAAUCCUAAUGACCAUUACCCACUACAGAGUCACUGAACUCUGAGAUCAGAAUUCUGUAUGAACUUGGGGUGAAAAAGAUACCAGGCAUCACCCCUGCUUUUGAAACCAUGCUUGAAACAGUCUAAUUGUAUAAAAUGGCAACAAAGAAAACUGUAUUACAAAGGCAAAACAGCAAGGUGAAUAUUAGCACCCAUUGGAGCCAGCCUGCUGAAUUUGCCCCUCAGUUCCCCCACUUACUAUCUGUGUAAACUUGGCAAAUUAUUUACUUCUCUGCGUUUCAGUUUCCUCAUCUAUAAAAUGUGGGUAAGAACAGCAACAACUUCACAUGAGGCUGUCAGGAAUGUAUGAGCAAAACCAUGUAAACAGCACACAGUAUCAUAUAAGGGGGAGCUACUGUUACUACUGUUGAAGGAGAACCAGUCAGCCUGAUAAAGGGGAAGAUUCCUGUAGGCCCAUGAAUUCAAAUGAGGAGUGAGGCAGGUGAGUAAAUACCUCCAGAAAGCAGAAGGAUCUGUGCCUUCCGGAAUGGGCACGGCCUUGUUGUCAGCCUGGGGCUCCUUUCUCCUUCUUCUGGAAGAGCAACUUGCUCUUCCUUUGGGCAACAGCCUUUCCCAGUUCUCACCGUAGGGGAGGCUGAGCCCAUUUCUUGGCCAUGUGAUCCAGGCCUGGCCAAGCAGCAUUUCUAUCCCCAUUUACAAGGGCCAGUCCAGAGAUGGGCCCUUGAUCUCCAUCAGAAUAAUAAUACAGAAUAAUAAUACUGGGCUUUCUGCUGGGACUCUGAGAAAGAGUUACUCUUAUUUCUUUUUGCUAGAGAUGCUAAGCUCAUAAGACAUAAUGAUGGUGCAACUGAGUGUCAUUGUGCCACUCCUUGGGGAUAGCCUGCCAGAAUGGAAUCCCACAGAGAAAUGCAGCACUUAGGGAGUAAAAGUGAGAGAGGGAGAGGGAGGAAGAGGAAGGGAGAGAGAGAGGGGAGGGAGAGAAAGCGGAGGUGGGGGUGGUGUGGUGGCGGUGGGGUGUGGAUCACUGACAUCAUUUUAGCAACUAGCUCCAGCUAUAUUGAUCUGACCUUGCCAGCUAUGGACAUCAGUAUCUUUUUUAACCUGGGCCAUCUUGAGUUUAGUUUCUGUUAUUUGUAAAUGAGAAUCCUGAUGAAUACAUCUUUUAUAAUCAGGGGCACAUUUUUGCAAGAUAAUUUCCUUGAGUUAAAGGGGCUUUGCCAUGUUUAUGUAAAUAUCUUUCGCUGCUGAAACUUCCGCAGGUGUUUUGCAUAAAUUAUGAGGAGACACUGGCAGAGCCAGGUUUAUGAAAUCCCCCAGCAGAUAAGGAGACAGGUGUGAAGAGAAAUGGUGCCAAUCAGUUUACUGUGGAGCAGCCAUGAGAUCCCAGCGUAAUCUGGAUUCCACGGGCUGCGUGAGAGGGAGUGCAGCGGGAUGGGGGUGGGGGAGGGUAGGAUUCUUGGGCAAAUCUCUGCUCUGUAGAUUUUACCCUGGCCCUGCCAAUUGGAUGGGGAGAUAAGAGAUCUUCUGUUUUACUUUCCUUCACUUUUUCUCAGUCUGCCUCUCUCAAUAGUUACUAGAGAGAUACUAGACCUCCAGUCCUCAUCACUUUUUGAUAACAUUCUGUUAACAAUACUCCCUGAUCUUCCUGGUGGAAGACUCAUAAAAACAUGAUGUAAUCGUCUGAUUUCGAUUGGCCCAGCAGUCUGGAAAAAGGUGCCAUUCAGUCAUCUCCUGCACUGGCACUAAGCCUAAGAUGAGCACAUUUAUAUUUAGUGACUUUCUCAUCACAGUAUUGACAAAUAUGGCUUCUCAUUGCAAAGCUGGAUGCUUGCACUUAUUCUUGUUAACAUCUCAUGUGCUUCAAAGAGUAAUUACAGAUAAUGAGAAGAUUUAGGUUCCAAGCAUUGUGCAUAUUGUUGAGUGACGAAUGGAGGGUGCUUGAAAGGUGUCACAGAGGUUAAUCACCUAGGGCUGAAACUGCCAGCUGGUGCACAGCUGAAGGAGAUGUGGUGUGAGCUCUUGCAUGGUCCAUGCCUUCGCCACUCCACACAGGCCUCAAUUAUGGAACCCCCAAUCACUCAGGAAAAUGAAGAGGUGGUGCUUAAAGAAGUGGGUUCAGCAGAGGGGGGUGGGGGAGGGGCAAGCGCCAGUAAAAGUAACCUGGGAUGAUCGGCAAGAGUUUUCUGGCUUGGGCCCAUUCUCUCUUCAUUUAUCAUUUAUUUUUAUGUUUAAUUAAAAAAAUAUACAGACUCUGCUUAGUUGCAGGGCUGGCACAGAGAGCUGGGUAUAAAAUGAGGGUGCCCUCAGAGCAUACAGUCCAACUGGGAACUAGAAUGGUGAUGAUACCCAGUUACAGUGUGAGAUGCUGGAAUCUAAUUUCCUCUGCAAGGGUCUAGACAGACGUCCCUGAAGACCCGACACUGAAGCCGAGACAGGAAGGAGGAGAGGGAAGAGUUAAUCAGGAGGAGGCGAGCAGGAGAAAGACCCCUCUGACCACAAAAGCAGGUGAACGAACUGUUGGCCCUGGGAUGAGGAGCAGCUGGUUCCCUGGAAGAACUGAAAACAUACCAGAAAGGUUGGAGGAGAGUGAAUACGGCAGACGUAGCCGGAGCUGUGGGCUGGAGCUGGACAGGUUCCGCACCCUUCUGUCUCCUGACCCACCCCCAACAUCCACCUGGCUCCUAUUAAGCCUUGUUAGCCUGGUCCUCUGGUGCUUGGGAAGAUCUCCCUUUACCCUGGCACAGCCAGCAGUUUCCCAGUUGGGUUAUGCUGAGUUUGGACCCUAAUUCUGGGUGUGAUGGCCAGGAGGGAAUCAUGGAGGUGGGGGGCAAUGCUGAGAAAGGCAAGCGUGCCAGCGAAGCAGCUGAGAAGGCGAAAUUUCUUCAAGUAAGGAUGUGUGGGUUUGGGAAGGGGGCUCUACCUUGCGAAAAAAUGGGGAGUGGGUCUCCACUGCAGAUCCCAGGAGUUCAAGGGAAGGGAGGGAGGUUCAAGUGCAUCUGUCCAGAUAGCCCCAUCCCAAUUCUCAGGGUCCCACUUCUUCCCCAUCAAGCCCCUGACUUGGGCCUUUGCUGGGAAUCCAAUCUUCUCUCAACUUCUGCCAUUCUUACAAUUAAGUCUUCCAGCUGCAGGAGAUGAGGGUCGCUGUGAAAGCUGCCAGUUUUCUUUUUCACUCUCAUACUUUGCUUUAACUUGUUGAUGAAUAGAUCUGCCAGUCAUUUUCUCUUCUUAUUAAAUUCCCCAGUCCUUAGAGUUACUACUUCCCACAUACUUUAACUGCCUACCUCAUUGUACCAGUUGAUGAGCUCUUUCCACCUGUAUCCCAUCCCAGUGCUCCACAGGUUAAUGUCUUAGUAAUCACCGUGCCACGAGCUAGCAGCCCUCCACCCCCCCACCAGUGAUGUGACCCUCCUUUCCAACCAGCCAGGCAGUAAUGCAGAGAGUCCCAUCCUCAGCUUUGCUUCCUAGGAUCCAAUGCAAUACUGAUCCUCUUAGGUUGGAUUCUCUGGAAGGAGCUUGAUGUGGGGUUUCUUGUUCAGGCUGUUUAUUAGAAGAAUGCUUUCUGGAGAAGAGGAGUAAAAGAAGCAGGGCUAUCUCUGAAGCAGAGAGGAAAACCUCAGCAAGGGUGUGAUAUAAGCUAGAGACCAGCAUUCCGUUAUGGGAGAUCAGGGGCUGAAAUUGCACUGCAGAGUUGCCCCAGUGGACGCCCAGAAAGAGUAGGCAGCUCUCCAUUGAGUUGUUAUCAGCUGUUGAGUUGAAUAUCUAGGCCCAGGAUAGAGCCAUUCCUGCCUGGAGGGCCACAUCAGCAAACAGAAACUUAGCUUAUGUGUCCCUGUAAACACUCCGCUUGACCAGAGGGAAUCUAUCUGGUCAGCCAAUCCCCAAACGCCAAGCCACCUCUGAUCUCUACUUACUUCCUUCUUCUUUCUCACCCUACACAAGGUUGACUGGACAGCCUCAGCCAAUCUGAUGUUUUCUAUUGUUCUCUCCGUUGUUCAUUAUUUUUUAUCCUCUGAAAGCUUCCCAACUUCAGGCCCAUUUUGCAUUUCUUUGAAUGGAGAUGUCGGCUUCAUGACGUGGUUGGUCUCAUCUGGAUGGUUUUCUCUGAUCACCUUUUAAUGCAGCAGCUAGGGGAUGGGUGCUCCAGGUGGUAAAGAGAGUCAGGGCGCCAACAUCAUCAUCAUGAUGAUAGUGAUGGAUAAUUCUAUUGUAAAAGCAGUUUGUAGUUUUACCACUUAGAAAAAGUUUCCCUUUCACGGUCGUUGUGAAACAGGCUAGUUUUUGCCUCCUACUAAACACUAUGUUUCCCUUAAUGUUAAACUGUGUCUAAGUGGAAAAGCCUUUUAAUUUGAAGGGGAAAAACAAGUGAAUUUAUUUGAGUAUAGUGUUAAUAAAAACAUGUAAUGAUUUUCUCUUCUCAUUCUCCACAGGCCUCCUGAUACCUCCCCCACAUCGCUCUCCUAAGCAUGUCUGCCUGCUGGUUUCUGAGCCAGCAGAAAAGGAUACAGUAUCACAUUAUAUAUUUACAAAAACACAUGCUUCCAUAUGUGAACCAGAAUAAUAAACAUCUUGUGCAGAAAAAUCCGUUGUGUCUCAAUCACUUCACGGAAGCACCUGAGACACUGAUUUUCUGAAAGCUGCUGGGAAACUACCAGAGUGAUCCACUGAGCUAUAAAUGAGGAUCUGUUUAUAAUUUACAAGCACAUGAGUCUCAGGCAUGUUCUGAGAGGUUCAAGCUACUCUGGCCAGUCCUCACAGCAGAAGAGGAAAAAAAGGUACUUUUCUGAAGGUAACUCUCAUUUUCCUCACACUUUCUGCAUACGUGAAGGAAUUGAGGGGAAAUUUUGCAUUUAGUGAAACCCAUUUAUACUUUUUUUUAAUAAAAAUAUUGUAACAAUUGUGGUAAUCCUAGGGACAGGAAGUGCUCAAUCUUUGUUCACGCCAUCGAUUUGAGUAUUCGAAGUGAAACUUCUAAGGUCUGUGGAUAGGAGUAGCGGGCUGAAGCAUCUGGUUAAGAGGGAGACUUACACUGAAGUGUGUAAGUCUAAGACCACAAGUAGAUACGACCUUUCAGGGAAAAAAAUGCCAAAGAGGUAGAUUGCUUCCCUUGCCAGGAGACAGAAGUUUUGAACAGCUCUCAGGGGAGCAAUAACGGCCCAGCAUGGGUCUGAUUGAUUUGCAAACGGAUAGUCUACUAACUUGAAGAAAGUGUUCUAGAAAUAUUUGGAAGUUAUGGUUUCUCUGUUGAACUGCCUUGAAAAUUUAACAGUCCCCACAGGUGUGGUGUGAUCUGUGAAAAAUGUAGUGACUCAUGAGCUUUUGGAAGUAGGUGAUGAAGGGUGAUGGUGACAUGUUGAAAGGAAUCAAAAUUCUCUUUUUCUCAUCAGGAAUGGUAGCUUGGUUUAAUGCAUAAUAGCUAAUAUUUAUUGAGGACUCAGGCUGUGCCAAGCACUAUCUAAGAACUUAAAUGUAUUUACUUAAGAGGGAGGUACUAUUACUAACCACAUUUGAUAGAUAAGGAAAUUGAGGCAGGGGAAUGUCAAGUAGCCUGUAGUUCCAAAGUUGAUUAGUGAUGGAGUAAAAUUUAACCCUAGAUAGUCUGACUCCAGAGCACAUGCUCUUUACUGUUUGCUACACAGACUCCAAGGAUAUAACCAUAAUCAGGAGGAGGAAUUUGUAAGCUCAUAUCAUCCAAGUCACUCUGAAGCAAGACAGUAUCCCAGCAAAACAGUUAAGUGAGGAAUUGGAGUGUUUUCUGAUGAAUUCAGUCAGUCCUAUUGGGCAACCCAUCUAUUUUGAAAAAGUCAGGUUGUUGAUGGUGCUAAGUCCUCAGUGACUGUUUUUCAAGCCUAUUUUCCUAAACUCCCCACUUCAUUUUGUUGGUUGAGUUUGCACCAGCUAUCAAGAACCAAAGCACAGUGAUAUAAGUGAAGUAGCCUGGAUCUGACCUCGAGCAUGCUUCCCUUUGCCAGUGUGGAGUUGUAGAAGGAUUUUGGAGAGAUGUGUGUAACUUUAGUUGGGAAAAAGUUGGAGUCAACAUGACCCUCAGAGAUUGUCCAGAGAUGAGGAUCACUGAAGGUCGGUGACUUGUACAAGAUCAUACGCAGUAGUUCAGAGAGAAGCUUCAAGGGAGCCUAGGAUGUCUGCUUCCUAGAGCAGAGCUCGUUCCACAAUGGUGCCCAGUGAAUUGAAGAAGCAAACUGCCAGGCAACACUUGAGAAGUACCCUUGAAAAGGAACAGCUCUAGUGACGAGGUGUUCAUUGACAGGCAGAAUCCAAUGGUGAAAUUGUGCUGUUGGAUGUCUCCUGGGUCAUUUGGCCGGAAAGUCCUCUGGGGAAGAAUAUGUUUGGCUCAGGUUUAUUCUUUGGUGCUGGACAACAGAUGCUGGACAAUGAGGUGGCUGGGGCUGGUUGGGAUGGUGAUAAUGAGAAGUUGGCAACCAAAAUGAGAAUAUAGCAGAUUUAUUGCUUGAAAAUCUAACCCAAACCACAGUGUAAAACAGGGACAAUCAAUUGCCAAAUGCCAGGGGCCUCAAGGGAUUUGAUAUCUCGGGAAAUUAGGCCAAUUUCUUCUUCACUGACUGAGUCUUUGGAGUAUAGCAUGAUACUGUAAUCCUACUUUUGACAGUUGUGGAAUAGUUCAGUUGUGACUGAUUGAAAGUCACAGAAAAAAUACCCUGUCUCUAGAAAUUAAUUUAAACCAUCAUAGCUACAAGGACUGCAUGUUCAUGUCUCAUAUUUCCAGGCACAUAAAUAUUUAUCGACUGAAUAAAUAAAUGAGCGUCUGCUCCAGCCAGUACAUUCCAUCCCUGGCCAAUUCUUACCUAUUUUUAUGCUGAAUAAAUUUUUUAAAUUAUGAUCAAAACAAUCCUUUUAAGUUACUUGACUAAACUUUAAUUAAAUAACUGCCAGUUAGUAUCAUUUGCAUAAUACUUUUUGGACUGCUUUGUAUAAUUUCUUUCAAGUCUUGACAAGCUUUUUAACAGUGAGAGAACACAAUGGAUGUCUUAAGGUUUACA